GUAUCAAACUGCCAACUAAUGGUUAUCUGAAUGUAUGAUAGCUAACCUGGCACAGAUUGGGUUUCUUGAGCUGAAGUUAGGUGAUGCUUUAAAAUCAUAUCCUGCUGGAAGAUCAUCUUCGAUAGGCACAAGCCAAGGAUUACCUCAGGGGGUGAAGUAAACUCAAACGAUUGAAGGUUGGACUGUGACAACUCUUGAAGGAACUGAGACUCUACAGUGGUUCCAUUAGGAACACUUGGCAGCAGGACAACCCCAGAAUUUGAUGCCUUGACACCACUUCGGUGAUGUGCGGCAACCAUUUCCGAGGGUGCCAGAGGCUCAGGUGCUCCAGAUAAGUUCGCUGGGGGCAGAUAGAGGCCAUUCCUCGUAGACAGCAUCUGAAAUGAGAAAUACAUAAAUGGGUGGUAAGCGAGCCUUGUAAUCCCGGCCUCCCGGGUGUGCAUACUCCAACGCUGGAUGUAACAACACUUCACUGCAUCUGUUACACCUCCUGAUUACCACGACUCUAAAACUAAGUAGACCAAUGUGAUUGAAACUGG
Long non-coding RNA from Phragmites australis (common reed), 539 nucleotides. RefSeq lists it as uncharacterized. The transcript is spliced from 4 exons. The record is from RefSeq and is a predicted model, not a curated record. NCBI's taxonomy places the organism in Eukaryota, Viridiplantae, Streptophyta, Magnoliopsida, Poales, Poaceae.